Molecule: non-coding RNA, 89 nt
Organism: Immersiella caudata
Lineage: Eukaryota; Fungi; Ascomycota; Sordariomycetes; Sordariales; Lasiosphaeriaceae
Source: the annotation of a GenBank genome assembly
UCCUCUAUAGUGUAGUGGUUAGCAUAUCAGAUUUUCAGUACCAGUCAAUACUAUCUCUGAAGACCCGGGUUCAAACCCCGGUGGAGGAA